GGCCUUAUGGGCAAAUUAUGGGUGAAUCACCUUGUGGUGAUAGAAUUGUUGGGAAUUGAGUAAUGGUUAUUAUGGCUUUGGAGGAUGGUAAGUUGGCUUAAUCUCAUAUUAUGGAUAAAAUUGUUCUUGCUUGGUUUGAUCCACUUAUGGUGGAGGUGUUUAAUUAUGGAAUGUAUUGUGACCAUGGCCUUGAAGGCAUAGUAUGAGAAAUUUAAGUGUUACAUGACAUUUUAUGAAUGGACAUUCAAUGGAGCUAAUGUGAUCAUGUUAUGAAAGUAAAUGUGUUAUUAUUGAAAGGAUUUUUCUCAAUUUGACACUCAUGAAUGUUGAUGAUAGAAUAUGAAGGAUUCUCCAAUUUAUUGCAUAUCUCGAAUCGGUAGAGCUUGUGCAUCCUUUUCUUGUUUAAAUGAUUAUAUUGUUGGUUGUGGAAUCCUCGAAUCGGUAGGCUAGUAGCACCCUUCCAAUCAUGAUAAUGAUG
This 478-nucleotide long non-coding RNA is filed under the name Solanum tuberosum (potato). Its description in RNAcentral is "long non-coding RNA (STUB_LNC004564)". The record is from RNAcentral. Lineage: Eukaryota; Viridiplantae; Streptophyta; Magnoliopsida; Solanales; Solanaceae.